This 734-nucleotide ribosomal RNA is filed under the name uncultured bacterium. Its description in RNAcentral is "bacterial SSU rRNA". It matches the Rfam family "Bacterial small subunit ribosomal RNA", at positions 86 to 799 of the family's 1533-position model. The record is from RNAcentral.
CAGGGGGAAGUGGCGAACGGGUGAGUAACACGUGGGUAAUCUGCCCUCGGAUGGGGGAUAGCACUAGGAAACUAGUGGUAAUACCGCAUAUUAUCACACUUCUAUAAGGUCGUGUGAUGAAAGGUGCCCUCUGCAUAUGGUACCGUCUGAGGAUGAGCCCGCGGGCUAUUAGCUUGUUGGUAGGGUAAGAGCCUACCAAGGCAACGAUGGCUAGCCGGCCUGAGAGGGUGUACGGCCACAUUGGGAUUGAGAUACGGCCCAGACUCCUACGGGAGGCAGCAGCUAAGAAUAUUCCGCAAUGGGCGAAAGCCUGACGGAGCGAUGCCGCGUGGACGAUGAAGGCCUUCGGGUUGUAAAGUCCUUUUCCUGGGGAAGAAUAAAGUCGAGAGUAACUGCUUGACCGAUGACGGUACCCAGGGAAUAUGCUCCGGCUAAUUACGUGCCAGCAGCCGCGGUAAUACGUAUGGAGCUAGCGUUGUUCGGAUUUACUGGCCGUAAAGGGCUUGUAGGUGGCAAGACAAGUCGGAUGUGAAAUCUCCGGGCUUAACCUGGAAAUUGCAUUCGAAACUGUCUCGCUAGAGUGUCGGAGAGGGAAAUGGAAUUCCUGGUGUAGGGGUGAAAUCUGUAGAUAUCAGGAAGAACACCGGUGGCGAAGGCGGUUUCCUGGCCGACUACUGACACUGAGGAGCGAAAGCUAGGGGAGCAAACAGGAUUAGAUACCCUGGUAGUCCUAG